CACACUAUCAUUAACUGAAUCCAUAGGUUAAUGAGGCGAACCGGGGGAACUGAAACAUCUAAGUACCCCGAGGAAAAGAAAUCAACCGAGAUUCCCCCAGUAGCGGCGAGCGAACGGGGAGCAGCCCAGAGCCUGAAUCAGUGUGUGUGUUAGUGGAAGCGUCUGGAAAGGCGCGCGAUACAGGGUGACAGCCCCGUACACAAAAAUGCACAUGCUGUGAGCUCGAUGAGUAGGGCGGGACACGUGGUAUCCUGUCUGAAUAUGGGGGGACCAUCCUCCAAGGCUAAAUACUCCUGACUGACCGAUAGUGAACCAGUACCGUGAGGGAAAGGCGAAAAGAACCCCGGCGAGGGGAGUGAAAAAGAACCUGAAACCGUGUACGUACAAGCAGUGGGAGCACGCUUAGGCGUGUGACUGCGUACCUUUUGUAUAAUGGGUCAGCGACUUAUAUUCUGUAGCAAGGUUAACCGAAUAGGGGAGCCGAAGGGAAACCGAGUCUUAACUGGGCGUUAAGUUGCAGGGUAUAGACCCGAAACCCGGUGAUCUAGCCAUGGGCAGGUUGAAGGUUGGGUAACACUAACUGGAGGACCGAACCGACUAAUGUUGAAAAAUUAGCGGAUGACUUGUGGCUGGGGGUGAAAGGCCAAUCAAACCGGGAGAUAGCUGGUUCUCCCCGAAAGCUAUUUAGGUAGCGCCUCGUGAAUUCAUCUCCGGGGGUAGAGCACUGUUUCGGCAAGGGGGUCAUCCCGACUUACCAACCCGAUGCAAACUGCGAAUACCGGAGAAUGUUAUCACGGGAGACACACGGCGGGUGCUAACGUCCGUCGUGAAGAGGGAAACAACCCAGACCGCCAGCUAAGGUCCCAAAGUCAUGGUUAAGUGGGAAACGAUGUGGGAAGGCCCAGACAGCCAGGAUGUUGGCUUAGAAGCAGCCAUCAUUUAAAGAAAGCGUAAUAGCUCACUGGUCGAGUCGGCCUGCGCGGAAGAUGUAACGGGGCUAAACCAUGCACCGAAGCUGCGGCAGCGACGCUUAUGCGUUGUUGGGUAGGGGAGCGUUCUGUAAGCCUGCGAAGGUGUGCUGUGAGGCAUGCUGGAGGUAUCAGAAGUGCGAAUGCUGACAUAAGUAACGAUAAAGCGGGUGAAAAGCCCGCUCGCCGGAAGACCAAGGGUUCCUGUCCAACGUUAAUCGGGGCAGGGUGAGUCGACCCCUAAGGCGAGGCCGAAAGGCGUAGUCGAUGGGAAACAGGUUAAUAUUCCUGUACUUGGUGUUACUGCGAAGGGGGGACGGAGAAGGCUAUGUUGGCCGGGCGACGGUUGUCCCGGUUUAAGCGUGUAGGCUGGUUUUCCAGGCAAAUCCGGAAAAUCAAGGCUGAGGCGUGAUGACGAGGCACUACGGUGCUGAAGCAACAAAUGCCCUGCUUCCAGGAAAAGCCUCUAAGCAUCAGGUAACAUCAAAUCGUACCCCAAACCGACACAGGUGGUCAGGUAGAGAAUACCAAGGCGCUUGAGAGAACUCGGGUGAAGGAACUAGGCAAAAUGGUGCCGUAACUUCGGGAGAAGGCACGCUGAUAUGUAGGUGAAGUCCCUCGCGGAUGGAGCUGAAAUCAGUCGAAGAUACCAGCUGGCUGCAACUGUUUAUUAAAAACACAGCACUGUGCAAACACGAAAGUGGACGUAUACGGUGUGACGCCUGCCCGGUGCCGGAAGGUUAAUUGAUGGGGUUAGCGCAAGCGAAGCUCUUGAUCGAAGCCCCGGUAAACGGCGGCCGUAACUAUAACGGUCCUAAGGUAGCGAAAUUCCUUGUCGGGUAAGUUCCGACCUGCACGAAUGGCGUAAUGAUGGCCAGGCUGUCUCCACCCGAGACUCAGUGAAAUUGAACUCGCUGUGAAGAUGCAGUGUACCCGCGGCAAGACGGAAAGACCCCGUGAACCUUUACUAUAGCUUGACACUGAACAUUGAGCCUUGAUGUGUAGGAUAGGUGGGAGGCUUUGAAGUGUGGACGCCAGUCUGCAUGGAGCCGACCUUGAAAUACCACCCUUUAAUGUUUGAUGUUCUAACGUUGACCCGUAAUCCGGGUUGCGGACAGUGUCUGGUGGGUAGUUUGACUGGGGCGGUCUCCUCCUAAAGAGUAACGGAGGAGCACGAAGGUUGGCUAAUCCUGGUCGGACAUCAGGAGGUUAGUGCAAUGGCAUAAGCCAGCUUGACUGCGAGCGUGACGGCGCGAGCAGGUGCGAAAGCAGGUCAUAGUGAUCCGGUGGUUCUGAAUGGAAGGGCCAUCGCUCAACGGAUAAAAGGUACUCCGGGGAUAACAGGCUGAUACCGCCCAAGAGUUCAUAUCGACGGCGGUGUUUGGCACCUCGAUGUCGGCUCAUCACAUCCUGGGGCUGAAGUAGGUCCCAAGGGUAUGGCUGUUCGCCAUUUAAAGUGGUACGCGAGCUGGGUUUAGAACGUCGUGAGACAGUUCGGUCCCUAUCUGCCGUGGGCGCUGGAGAACUGAGGGGGGCUGCUCCUAGUACGAGAGGACCGGAGUGGACGCAUCACUGGUGUUCGGGUUGUCAUGCCAAUGGCACUGCCCGGUAGCUAAAUGCGGAAGAGAUAAGUGCUGAAAGCAUCUAAGCACGAAACUUGCCCCGAGAUGAGUUCUCCCUGACUCCUUGAGAGUCCUGAAGGAACGUUGAAGACGACGACGUUGAUAGGCCGGGUGUGUAAGCGCAGCGAUGCGUUGAGCUAACCGGUACUAAUGAACCGUGAGGCUUAACCUU
This 2762-nucleotide ribosomal RNA is filed under the name Escherichia coli. Its description in RNAcentral is "partial 23S ribosomal RNA". It matches the Rfam family "Bacterial large subunit ribosomal RNA". The record is from RNAcentral. Lineage: Bacteria; Pseudomonadati; Pseudomonadota; Gammaproteobacteria; Enterobacterales; Enterobacteriaceae.